Molecule: RNA transcript, 1672 nt
Organism: Cucumis melo (muskmelon)
Lineage: Eukaryota; Viridiplantae; Streptophyta; Magnoliopsida; Cucurbitales; Cucurbitaceae
Gene name: caffeoylshikimate esterase
Exons: 9
Source: RefSeq, a predicted model, not a curated record
CUCUCUCUCUCUCUCUCUCUCUCUCUCCUGUUUGUUACAAACUUUGUGGUUCCCUCUGCCGUUUGGAUCGGAAAAGUUUUUUUCUCUAGCUCUGUGACCGCAUCACUCCUCAUUUAAUUCUCUCUCGUUUCCCCACAAUCCGAAGAAGAAGAAGAAGAUCCUGAUUCCUGUUUUCUGUAUCUAUAUAUCUAUAUAUAUUAUAUAUAUCUCAAGUCUGAUCAAUCGGCGCUCGGAAUAAAUGGAGGUUCAAUAUGAAGAGGAAUACAUAAGGAAUUCGAGAGGAGUCCAGAUUUUCACAUGCCGAUGGCUUCCAAGGCAUUCUUCACCCAAGGCGCUUGUGUUUCUCUGCCAUGGAUACGGCAUGGAAUGCAGUGGAUUCAUGAGAGGAUGUGGACAUCGACUUGCAACUUCGGGGUACGCAGUGUUUGGGAUGGACUAUGAAGGACACGGAAGAUCCAGUGGAGCUCGUUGUUACAUCAAGAAGUUUGAAAACAUUGUUAAUGAUUGUUAUGCCUUCUUCACUUCCAUUUCUGUUGAGGAAGAGUACAGAGACAAAUGCAGGUUCUUGUAUGGAGAGUCAAUGGGUGGGGCCGUGGCCCUUCUUCUGCACAAGAAAAAUCCCAGAUUUUGGAAUGGUGCUGUUCUCGUAGCUCCAAUGUGCAAGAUAUCUGAGAAGGUGAAGCCGCACCCUGUGGUUGUGAAUCUGUUAACAAGAGUAGAAGAAAUUAUACCCAAAUGGAAAAUUGUCCCAACAAAGGAUGUCAUAAAUUCAGCCUUCAAGGACCCCAUAAAGCGUGAAGAGAUAAGGAACAAUAAGUUAAUAUACCAAGACAAGCCCAGGCUGAAAACAGCCCUGGAGAUGCUAAGAGCGAGCAUGAACCUAGAAGACACCUUACACGAGGUAACACUUCCAUUCUUCGUCUUACAUGGAGAAGCCGAUAUAGUAACAGACCCAGAAGUAAGCAGAGCAUUGUACGAGAAAGCAAGCAGCAGAGACAAGACAAUAAAAUUAUACCCAGGAAUGUGGCAUGGUUUGACAUCAGGAGAACCAGACGAGAACAUCGAAAUUGUGUUCUCCGACAUCAUAGAUUGGCUUGACAAGCAUGCCGGCGGGAACACGGCGAAGUUUCAACUUCAAUCCACCACUUGCUCAAAUGGGAAUGGCGUUGAUCAGAGAUUAAAUAAUGGCCAAACCACAUUAAGCAAUGGGAAAGAGAGUCGAAGAAGUCAGAAUCAUCGUGGGAGUUAUCUCUGUGGUUUGAAGGGGCGGUUGCAAUCGGCGAUGUAGUGUCAGUAUUCUUAUAUAAUUAUUAUAUAGUGCCGCCAUUGUUGAUUGAAAAUGCUCUCUUGGCUCAUCUUUCUUCAUCUUGGGAGGGGCUAAGAGGAAAACGAAAAUCGAACUUUAGGAAUGGGAUUCUUUCUUCUUCUUCGGUACAUCUCAAAUGCAAAUGGAAAUAGUAAAGUUUGGUAGCAACUAAGCAAUAAGUUUGGCUCAAUAAUUUUCAUUCUUUUAUUUUUGUUGUUUAGAAUUCUGUAAUUGAUGUGAAUGGGAUGGACCAUCAUUUCCACAACCACAAAUUAACCCCACCCCAAUUCCUCUAAUCAAACUUAACACAUAACAAUUUUUCAAAAAAAAAGAAAAAAAAAAAAAAAAGAAAAAAAGAAGAAGAAA